UACGUAGGGUGCGAGCGUUGUCCGGAAUUAUUGGGCGUAAAGAGCUCGUAGGCGGUGUGUCGCGUCGGCCGUGAAAACCUGGGGCUCAACUCUGGGCGUGCGGUCGAUACGGGCAUCACUUGGGUUCGGCAGGGGAGACUGGAAUUCCUGGUGUAGCGGUGAAAUGCGCAGAUAUCAGGAGGAACACCGGUGGCGAAGGCGGGUCUCUGGGCAGUAACUGACGCUGAGGAGCGAAAGCGUGGGGAGCGAACAGG
RNAcentral lists this ribosomal RNA (254 nucleotides) under uncultured bacterium. Its description in RNAcentral is "partial 16S ribosomal RNA". It matches the Rfam family "Bacterial small subunit ribosomal RNA", at positions 524 to 776 of the family's 1533-position model. The record is from RNAcentral.